RNAcentral lists this ribosomal RNA (252 nucleotides) under uncultured bacterium. RNAcentral describes it as "partial 16S ribosomal RNA". It matches the Rfam family "Bacterial small subunit ribosomal RNA", at positions 524 to 776 of the family's 1533-position model. The record is from RNAcentral.
UACAGACGGGGCAAGCGUUAUUCGGAAUUAUUAGGCGUAAGGGCGCGUAGGCGGCCGAGCAAGUCUUGGGUGAAAUCCCUCGGCUCAACCGAGGAACUGCCUUGGAAACUGCUUGGCUCGAGGCCGGGAGAGGAUGGUGGAAUUCCCAGUGUAGCGGUGAAAUGCGUAGAUAUUGGGAGGAACACCAGUGGCGAAGGCGGCCAUCUGGACCGGUCCUGACGCUGAGGGGCGAAAGCGUGGGGAGCAAAGAGG